GACGGACGCUGGCGGCGUGCUUAACACAUGCAAGUCGAACGGAAAGGCCCUGCUUUUGUGGGGUGCUCGAGUGGCGAACGGGUGAGUAACACGUGAGUAACCUGCCCUUGACUUUGGGAUAACUUCAGGAAACUGGGGCUAAUACCGGAUAGGAGCUCCUGCUGCAUGGUGGGGGUUGGAAAGUUUCGGCGGUUGGGGAUGGACUCGCGGCUUAUCAGCUUGUUGGUGGGGUAGUGGCUUACCAAGGCUUUGACGGGUAGCCGGCCUGAGAGGGUGACCGGCCACCUUGGGACUGAGAUACGGCCCAGUCUCCUACGGGAGGCAGCAGUGGGGAAUAUUGCACAAUGGGCGGAAGCCUGAUGCAGCAACGCCGCGUGCGGGAUGACGGCCUUCGGGUUGUAAACCGCUUUCGCCUGUGACGAAGCGUGAGUGACGGUAAUGGGUAAAGAAGCACCGGCUAACUACGUG
Molecule: ribosomal RNA, 468 nt
Filed under: uncultured bacterium
Lineage: Bacteria
Description: partial 16S ribosomal RNA
Rfam family: Bacterial small subunit ribosomal RNA
Source: RNAcentral